CACACUGGAACUGAGACACGGUCCAGACUCCUACGGGAGGCAGCAGUGGGGAAUUUUGCGCAAUGGGGGAAACCCUGACGCAGCAACGCCGCGUGAGUGAUGAAGGCUUUCGGGUCGUAAAGCUCUGUCAGUGGGGAAGAAAUGAGAUUGGUUAAUACCCAAUUUUCUUGACGGUACCCACAAAGGAAGCACCGGCUAACUCCGUGCCAGCAGCCGCGGUAAUACGGAGGGUGCAAGCGUUGUUCGGAUUUAUUGGGCGUAAAGCGCGUGUAGGCGGUUUCUUAAGUCUGAUGUGAAAGCCCUGGGCUCAACCCAGGAAGUGCAUUGGAUACUGGGAGACUUGAAUACGGGAGAGGGUGGUGGAAUUCCUGGUGUAGGAGUGAAAUCCGUAGAUAUCAGGAGGAACACCGGUGGCGAAGGCGGCUGCCUGGACCGAUAUUGACGCUGAGACGCGAAAGCGUGGG
This 464-nucleotide ribosomal RNA is filed under the name uncultured bacterium. Its description in RNAcentral is "bacterial SSU rRNA". It matches the Rfam family "Bacterial small subunit ribosomal RNA", at positions 309 to 765 of the family's 1533-position model. The record is from RNAcentral.